AGCUUUUCCGCGUACACACUUAGUAAAAAUCAUUAAUCAACUCACUUUCCCUCUCUCUAAUCGUGUUUUCCCUCUAUCUCCCCUAAUUUUAUCCUCUUUCUCACAUAACCCUAGCUAAAAUCUAUCGAGCUCCAUUCUACACCUCUAAACACUGUUCCGCCUCUCCCAUCCGCCAAUUAAAGCUCCGUCAUCCACCAUUCCGAGACCAUUUCCGUUGCUGAAGAAUAUAUAAUGGUGGACAAGGCAUGGGUUCAUCUUAGCAGAGUUGAUCCUGCGUAUGAGAGAGGGGUCAAAGUUUGUACGAGAUGUGGCUGCAGGUCUGGGAGGGACUGAUAUGAUUGUAUGUCCCCUGCAUUGACUGCCGUAAUAUAGAUCGUCACUCAGGAGUUGUGGUAGUUGAUCAUCUAGUUACUAGGGGAAUGGAGGAGUCUUACAAGAAGCGGUCUGAUUGGUAUCUACAUGAAGAAUUGGACUCAAGAGUUGAAUCUGAAAGCAGAACAAGUCAGUGGAAUGAUGAGAUCUUCGGGUUAUACAGAGCCGCUGAGUGUUUUGAUGAAGAUUUAGCUGGUACUGGGGAGUUAUCUGAGAUGGCAGAGGGAGACGACAAGAAAAAAGAUGAAUUCCUGGCAAAGAUAGCUGAAGUCGAAACCCCAUUGUAUCCGAGCUGUGCAUCACACAACAAGUUAUCUGCCAUUGUUUCUUUAAUCAGACUGAAGACAAAAUGGGUGGUCUGACAAGAGCUUCAACGAUCUGCUUGAGACCUUACCGGAGAUGUUUCCAGAGGAUAAUGUGCUCCACACUUCGCUGUAUGAGGUGAAGAAAUUUCUGAAAUCCUUUGAUAUGGGUUACGAGAAGAUUCACGCAUGCGUCAAUGACUGCUGUCUAUUCCGAAAGAGGUACAAGAAGCUUGAGAAGUGUCCAAAAUGCAAGGCUUCAAGAUGGAAGACCAAUAUGCACACUGGUGAGAAGAAGAAAGAUGUCCCACAGAAAGUAUUACAUUACUUUCCCAUCAUACCAAGAUUGAAGAGGAUGUUUCGGUCUGAGCAAAUGGCAAAGGAUUUGAGGUGGUACUUCACCAACAAAAGCACAGAUGGAAAACUUUGGCACCCUGUUGAUUCAGUGACAUGGGAUCAGGUGAAUGCAAAACACCCGGCCUUUGCAGCAGAAGAAAGGAACCUGAGGCUUGGUCUUUCAACUGACGGAUUUAAUCCCUUCAAUAUGAAGAAUUUGAUGUACAGUUGCUGGUCUGUUUUGCUAGUGAACUAUAACUUGCUGCCUGACCUAUGCAUGAAGAAGGAGAACAUCUUGCUUUCGUUGUUGAUUCCUGGUCCACAACAGCCUGGUAAUAGCAUCGAUGUGUACUUAGAACCCCUCAUCGACGAUCUAAACCAUCUGUGGAGCAGUGGAGAGGUAACCUACGACGCUGUAACUUGUUGUACUUUUAAUCUUAACGCAAUGCUGCCUUGGACGAUCAGUGAUUUCCCAGCUUAUGGGAAUCUUGCACGCUGUAAAGUCAAGGGGAAAAUGGGGUGUCCGUUAUGUGGAAAGAAGACAGAUAGUAUGUGGCUAAAGUUCAGCAGGAAACAUGUCUACAUGUGCCAUAGAAAGGGUCUGCCACCAACUCAUAGUUUUAGAGGAACGAAGAAGUGGUUUGAUGGAAAAGUUGAACAAGGGAGAAGGGGUAGAAUACUAACAGGUCGUGAAAUUUCUCAAAAUCUGAGAAACUUCAACAAUGACUUUGGAAAUUUUAAAAGAUCUGCAAGUAAGAGGAAAAGGAUUCAGAGUACUGAUUUAAGCUCUGAUGUUGAGGCUUUAUCUAGUGAAUCAGAGGAAGAGGAAGAGGAAGAGGAAGAAGUUCAAGUAGAUGAAGAUGAGUUAUCUCGGUGGAAGAAGAGAUCAAUCUUUUUCAGGCUACCAUACUGGGAGGAACUUCCGAUGAGACACAACUUGGAUGCCAUACAUGUGGAGAGGAAUGUGGCUGCGAGUUUAGUUUCCAUAUUGUUGCACUCUGGAAAAUCUAAGGAUGGUCUUGCUGCUCGUAAAGAUCUGGAGGAAUUUGGUAUUAGGCAGGAGUUGCACCCUAAAAUCCAAGGAAAACGAACAUAUCUUCCUCCAGCACUAUGGUCUUUGUCGAAGGCAGAGAAGAAGAUCUUUUGCAGGCGACUAUUUGACUUCAAAGGGCCAGAUGGAUAUUGCUCAAACAUUUCAAGAGGUGUUUCACUAGAUGACUGUAAAGUAUCAGGUUUGAAAUCCCAUGACUAUCAUGUUUUAAUGCAGCAACUUCUUCUGAUUGCACUUAAAGGAUCGUUACCUAAAGGACCUAGGCUGGCCAUUUUGAGGCUGUGCGCAUUCUUCAAUAUGCUGUGUCAGAGAGUGAUUGAUAGGGAGAAGCUAUUGGUUAUGGAAGCUGAGAUUGUUGAGACUCUAUGCUUGUUUGAAAGAUUUUUUCCUCCAAGCUUCUUUGAUAUCAUGGUCCAUUUUGAGGUUGUGCGCAUUCUUCAAUAUGCUGUGCCAGAGAGUGAUUGAUAGGGAGAAGCUAUUGGUUAUGGAAGCUGAGAUUGUUGAGACUCUAUGCUUGUUUGAAAAUUUUUUCCCUCCAAGCUUCUUUGAUAUCAUGGUCCAUUUGACUGUGCACCUAGGAAGGGAAGCCCGCCUUGGUGGACCAGUCCAAUUUAGAUGGAUGUACCCAUUUGAAAGGUACAUAAAAGUCCUCAAAGACUUUGUGAGAAAUCCUGCAAGACCUGAGGGGUGCAUCGCUGAGUCGUAUUUAGCUGAAGAAUGUAUCGGGUUUUGCAGUGAAUUUUUUAAGAAGACAACAAACGUAGAAGAAAAAAUAGACAGAAACACAUAGUAUGAGAACAAUUCCAUCUUAGAGGGUCGUCCAAUAUCCCACAGGCACUCCAAUUACUCUGACUGAAAUGGAAAAGAAAGUAGCACAUCUUGCUAUCAUCCAAAACAUGGCUUUCGUCGAACCAUACGUAGAUGAGCAUCUACAGUAUUUACAAGACACAUGUGAAAAAUGUCGGCGAGAUGCAUCAACCUUAUUGAGUAUGCACACAAAGAAUUUCGCAACUUGGCUAAAAGAACAGGUGCCUCUUGAUUCUACAGAGCAUGAAGAAACACUUAAGUGGAUAACUUAUGGUCCAUGUUGUUCUGCAAGGUCUUAUACAUGAUUCAUAGUUAAUGGGCAGAGGUUUCACACAACGUCAAUUGAUAGGAGAAGUCAGAAUAGUGGGGUUUAUUACGAGGCUACAACAGUCUGUAGAUCUAGUGCCAAAGAUAUAUCACAGGUCGUCGAUCUGGUUUCUUAUUACGGCAGAGUAACUGACAUCAUUUUGCUGGAUUAUAAUGUCUUCUAUGUCCCUCUGUUCCGGUGUGAAUGGGCAGUAAAGGGUAAUGGAGCGAAGAUUGAAGAUGGUUUCACCCUUGUUAACCUCCAUCAUAGUCAAGCAUCCUUUGCAAGUGAUCCAUACAUUCUAGCAUCUCAAGCAAAGCAAGUCUUUUACUCUAGGGAAGAUGAGUCAUCACAUUGGUAUACUGUUAUGAGAGGUCCUUCGAGAAGAUACAGUAAGGAAGAUAUUCAAGAGGGGACUGCAGACAUUGGGCCAUUGCCAUCAAAUAUCGACAUGGAAGUUGACAUUGAUGAGGCAGAGAAUGUCAGAACUGAUUGUGAAGGCAUAUAUGUAAAUUGUUAUGGCCGGUGGAACGAAAAACAAAAGAGGAGGGAAGCCAAAAAA
RNA transcript from Brassica oleracea var. oleracea, 3737 nucleotides. RefSeq lists it as uncharacterized. The record is from RefSeq and is a predicted model, not a curated record. The transcript has 8 exons. NCBI's taxonomy places the organism in Eukaryota, Viridiplantae, Streptophyta, Magnoliopsida, Brassicales, Brassicaceae.